GGCACGGGUGAGUAACACGUAUCCAACCUGCCGUCUACUCUUGGACAGCCUUCUGAAAGGAAGAUUAAUACAAGAUGGCAUCAUGAGUCCGCAUGUUCACAUGAUUAAAGGUAUUCCGGUAGACGAUGGGGAUGCGUUCCAUUAGAUAGUAGGCGGGGUAACGGCCCACCUAGUCUUCGAUGGAUAGAGGUUCUGAGAGGAAGGUCCCCCACAUUGGAACUGAGACACGGUCCAAACUCCUACGGGAGGCAGCAUG
RNAcentral lists this ribosomal RNA (256 nucleotides) under uncultured bacterium. RNAcentral describes it as "partial 16S ribosomal RNA". It matches the Rfam family "Bacterial small subunit ribosomal RNA", at positions 99 to 353 of the family's 1533-position model. The record is from RNAcentral.